RNAcentral lists this ribosomal RNA (634 nucleotides) under Udeniomyces pyricola. Its description in RNAcentral is "LSU rRNA". It matches the Rfam family "Eukaryotic large subunit ribosomal RNA", at positions 34 to 654 of the family's 3401-position model. Lineage: Eukaryota; Fungi; Basidiomycota; Tremellomycetes; Cystofilobasidiales; Mrakiaceae. The record is from RNAcentral.
UUAAGCAUAUCAAUAAGCGGAGGAAAAGAAACUAACAAGGAUUCCCCUAGUAACGGCGAGUGAAGCGGGAUGAGCUCAAAUUUAAAAUCUGGCAGUCUAAGAUUGUCCGAGUUGUAGUCUAGAGAAGCGUUUUCCGCGUAGGCCUGUGUACAAGUCCCUUGGAAUAGGGCGUCAUAGAGGGUGAGAAUCCCGUCCUUGACACAGAUCAUCUAUGCUCUGCGAUGCGCUCUCGAAGAGUCGAGUUGUUUGGGAAUGCAGCUCAAAAUGGGUGGUAAAUUCCAUCUAAAGCUAAAUAUUGGCGAGAGACCGAUAGCGAACAAGUACCGUGAGGGAAAGAUGAAAAGCACUUUGGAAAGAGAGUUAAACAGUACGUGAAAUUGUUGAAAGGGAAACGAUUGAAGUCAGUCAUGUGGUUUGAGGUUCAGCCGGUUCUGCCGGUGUAUUCCUCAGACUACAGGCCAGCAUCAGUUUCGACCGGUGGAAAAAGUUGGAGGGAACGUGGCAUCCUCGGAUGUGUUAUAGCCCUCUUUCACAUGCAUCGGACGGGACUGAGGAACGCAGCGUGCCUUUAUGGUCGGUCUUCGGACACGAUCGCGCUUAGGAUGCUGGCAUAAUGGCUUUAAACGACCCGUCU